GUGCUUGCUUUGGCAACACAUAUACUAGAAAUGAAAUGAGAUUGGCAUAGCCCUUGCACAAGGAUGACAUGCAUAUCUCUGAAGCAUUCCAUAUUUUC
RNAcentral lists this small nuclear RNA (98 nucleotides) under Suricata suricatta (meerkat). Lineage: Eukaryota; Metazoa; Chordata; Mammalia; Carnivora; Herpestidae. The record is from RNAcentral.